RNAcentral lists this ribosomal RNA (468 nucleotides) under uncultured bacterium. RNAcentral describes it as "partial 16S ribosomal RNA". It matches the Rfam family "Bacterial small subunit ribosomal RNA", at positions 28 to 507 of the family's 1533-position model. The record is from RNAcentral.
GACGAACGCUGGCGGCGUGCUUAACACAUGCAAGUCGAACGGAAAGGCCCUGCUUUUGUGGGGUGCUCGAGUGGCGAACGGGUGAGUAACACGUGAGUAACCUGCCCUUGACUUUGGGAUAACUUCAGGAAGCUGGGGCUAAUACCGGAUAGGAGCUCCUGCUGCAUGGUGGGGGUUGGAAAGUUUCGGCGGUUGGGGAUGGACUCGCGGCUUAUCAGGUUGUUGGUGGGGUAGUGGCUUACCAAGGCUUUGACGGGUAGCCGGCCUGGGAGGGUGACCGGCCACGUUGGGACUGAGAUACGGCCCAGACUCCUACGGGAGGCAGCAGUGGGGAAUAUUGCACAAUGGGCGGAAGCCUGAUGCAGCAACGCCGCGUGCGGGAUGACGGCCUUCGGGUUGUAAACCGCUUUCGCCUGUGACGAAGCGUGAGUGACGGUAAUGGGUAAAGAAGCACCGGCUAACUACGUG